This 761-nucleotide ribosomal RNA is filed under the name uncultured bacterium. RNAcentral's name for it is "bacterial SSU rRNA". It matches the Rfam family "Bacterial small subunit ribosomal RNA", at positions 80 to 838 of the family's 1533-position model. The record is from RNAcentral.
CNACCCUGGUGGCGAGUGGCGAACGGGUGAGUAACAUAUCGGAACGUGCCCUGGAGUGGGGGAUAACUAGUCGAAAGAUUAGCUAAUACCGCAUACGAUCUACGGAUGAAAGUGGGGGAUCGCAAGACCUCAUGCUCGUGGAGCGGCCGAUAUCUGAUUAGCUAGUUGGUGGGGUAAAGGCCUACCAAGGCAUCGAUCAGUAGCUGGUCUGAGAGGACGACCAGCCACACUGGGACUGAGACACGGCCCAGACUCCUACGGGAGGCAGCAGUGGGGAAUUUUGGACAAUGGGCGCAAGCCUGAUCCAGCAAUGCCGCGUGAGUGAAGAAGGCCUUCGGGUUGUAAAGCUCUUUUGUCAGGGAAGAAACGGUUCGGGUUAAUACCUUGGGCUAAUGACGGUACCUGAAGAAUAAGCACCGGCUAACUACGUGCCAGCAGCCGCGGUAAUACGUAGGGUGCAAGCGUUAAUCGGAAUUACUGGGCGUAAAGCGUGCGCAGGCGGUUGUGCAAGACAGAUGUGAAAUCCCCGGGCUCAACCUGGGAAUUGCAUUUGUGACUGUACGGCUAGAGUGUGUCAGAGGGGGGUAGAAUUCCACGUGUAGCAGUGAAAUGCGUAGAGAUGUGGAGGAAUACCGAUGGCGAAGGCAGCCCCCUGGGAUAACACUGACGCUCAUGCACGAAAGCGUGGGGAGCAAACAGGAUUAGAUACCCUGNNAGUCCACGCCCUAAACGAUGUCUACUAGUUGUCGGGUCUUUAUUGA